Molecule: ribosomal RNA, 1426 nt
Filed under: metagenome
Description: bacterial SSU rRNA
Rfam family: Archaeal small subunit ribosomal RNA
Source: RNAcentral
UCCCGUUGAUCCUGCGGGGGGCUGCUGCUAUCAGGGUUCGAAUAAGCCAUGCAAGUCAGACAGCAAUGUCGGCAAACUGCGUAGUAACACGUCGGUAAUCUGCCCUAAGGUGGGGGAUAACCUCGGGAAACUGAGGAUAAUACCCUAUAAGAAAAGGAAACUGGAAUGUUCCUUUUUUCAAAGGCAACGCCUUAGGAUGAGCCGGCGGCCGAUUAGGUUGUUGGUGAGGUAACUGCUCACCAAGCCGUAGAACGGUAGGGGCAUUGAAAGAUGUCGCCUCACGAAGGGCACGGAGGUACUGGCCCUAGCCCUACGGGGUGCAGCAGGCGCGAAGUCUUUACAAUACACGAAAGUGUGAUAAGGGAACCCUGAGUGCUCAUGCGCUGCAUGGGCUUUUGCCAAGAGCAAAUAUCUUGGAGAAUAAGUGGUGGGCAAGACCGGUGCCAGCCGCCGCGGUAACACCGGCGCCACAAGUGGUGGCCUAGUAUUUGGCCUAAAGCAUCCGUAGCUGGUCUGUUAAAUCUCUUGUGAAAUUGUUGAGCUCAACUCAACAGCGUGCAGGAGAGACUGGCAGACUUGAGACUGGGACGAGCCAGAGGUAUUCUAUGGGGAGCGGUAAAAUGCUAUAAUCCACAGAAGACCACCGAUAGCGAAGGCAUCUGGCUAGAACAGAUCUGACAGUGAGGGAUGAAAGCGAGGGGAGCAAAACGGAUUAGAUACCCGAGUAGUCCUCGCUGUAAACACUGCGAGUUAGGUAUUGCACAUUCCUAGAGAAUGUGCAGUAUCAAAGCGAAGGCGAGAACUCGCCGCCUGGGUAGUAUGGUCGCAAGGCUGAAACUUAAAGGAAUUGGCGGGGAGACACCACAAGGGGUGCGGCGUGCGGUUUAAUUGAACUCAACGCCGGAAAUCUCACCAGGAGCGACGGCAGUAUGAAGGUCAGUCUAAAGGGCUUACCUAACGGGCCGAGAGGUGGUGCAUGGCCGUCGUCAGCUCGUGCUGUAAGGUGUCCUGUUAAGUCAGGUAACGAGCGAGACCUGUAUCCAUAGUUGCUACCGAGUCAGAGAUGAUGAUCGGGCACACUAUGGAAACUGCCUUCGUAAGAAGGAGGAAGGUGCAGGCUACGGUAGGUCUGUAUGCCCCGAAUCCCCUGGGCUACACGCGCGCAACAAUGGUAGGGACAAUGGGAUACGACCGCGAAAGCGGAAGUCAAACCUCUAAACCCUAUCUUAGUUCAGAUCGAGGGUUGCAACUCACCCUCGUGACGUCGGAAUCCCUAGUAAUCAGAAGUCACUAUCUUCUGGUGAAUAUGUCCCUGUCUCUUGCACACACCGCCCAUCAUCCCAUCCGAGCUGAGUUUGAAUGAGGUGCAGCUUCUUGGCUGAAACGAAUUCAAGCUUAGUGAGGCGGGGCAAGUUGUCACAAGGUA